Molecule: ribosomal RNA, 450 nt
Filed under: uncultured bacterium
Lineage: Bacteria
Description: partial 16S ribosomal RNA
Rfam family: Bacterial small subunit ribosomal RNA
Source: RNAcentral
GUGGGGAAUAUUGGACAAUGGGCGAAAGCCUGAUCCAGCCAUGCCGCGUGUGUGAAGAAGGUCUUCGGAUUGUAAAGCACUUUAAGUUGGGAGGAAGGGCAGUAAGUUAAUACCUUGCUGUUUUGACGUUACCGACAGAAUAAGCACCGGCUAACUUCGUGCCAGCAGCCGCGGUAAUACGAAGGGUGCAAGCGUUAAUCGGAAUUACUGGGCGUAAAGCGCGCGUAGGUGGUUUUGUAAGUUGGAGGGGAAAUCCACAGGCUCAACCUGGGAACUGCCUCAAAAACUGCAUGACUAGAGUACGGUAGAGGGUAGUGGAAUUUCCUGUGUAGCGGUGAAAUGCGUAGAUAUAGGAAGGAACACCAGUGGCGAAGGCGACUACCUGGACUGAUACUGACACUGAGGUGCGAAAGCGUGGGGAGCAAACAGGAUUAGAAACCCCAGUAGUCC